AUGCAUGGAAACAUGGCUGUGACACGACCCGGCCUAGAAAAUCAGGGAAACAAUAAAGAAAACGAUCCGCUGUUUUCUUCUUCUUUUCUGUUCUGCUCGGGAAGAGGAGAAACAACAAUCAGACUGCCGCUGAUCAGCACGAAAAACGUAAUCGCCACUGACAAAAAAAAAGGAAAAAAAAGAAAGAAAGAGAGCAACGACGGACGAAUCGAAUCAAGCAAAUGCUGGGCGCCACCAACGGCGCGAACAACUCUCGAAAACGAGAAGAGCAAACAAAUGACCGCCAUGGCCAGCACCAACGAAGCUACCACAGCGGAAGGCACCUCCCUCCAGAACCGAACGAUAAGAGCCAAGAAGAACGCGGAGGGGUCGCCAUGGAUGACCCCAAGAGCAACUCCGCCAGAGCCUAGAAUCCAGAACCAAAUGAAAGGAGCCAAGAAGAAGAGCAAGAGAGGAGUCGCCAUGGACGAGCAGUGGUACUGUACCCGCGACGCAGGUGAGCCGGCGAAGGGCAGGUGGGCGGCGAGAAACGGGCUGCUCCCCUCUCCUCUUCUCUCUCCACACGCACUCACGCAAAAGAAGAGCUCGAGUCGAGUGGUGGUGAAUCGGAGCUCUCAGGAGGAGGGGAGAAGGACGAGGCAAAGCUCCUUUAUAUACACCAUGGAAUCGCGACUCCGUAAUGUAGUAAUACCACGUAGGCCGGGCAGCGGGGAAGAGCGCGGUGACGCGGAUGCACUGCACAGUGGCGACGCGCAACCAUGGCGACUGAUCACUUGUUUCCUCUCUUAUUCCCGGUUAAUUGGUGGACGGACGUACCACGGCCGGCGGGUCAAGCCCCCAAAUCUUCCAGGGGUACUGUGCGCGAGGGGAGGGGAGAGGGUGGCUAAUCGGUCGGCGAGCGCACGUUUCAACUUGCCGCCGAGAUCUUAG
Molecule: ribosomal RNA, 930 nt
Filed under: Triticum aestivum (bread wheat)
Lineage: Eukaryota; Viridiplantae; Streptophyta; Magnoliopsida; Poales; Poaceae
Description: partial small subunit ribosomal RNA
Source: RNAcentral